GACGAACGCUGGCGGCGUGCUUAACACAUGCAAGUCGAACGGACAGACAGAGAGCUUGCUCUCUUGAAGCUAGUGGCGAACGGGUGAGUAACGCGUAAUCAACCUGCCCUUCAGAGGGGGAUAACAACGGGAAACCGUUGCUAAUACCGCGUACGAUUCAUGAACGGCAUCGUUUAUGAAUGAAAGGUGGCCUCUAUGUAUAAGCUAUCGCUGAAGGAGGGGAUUGCGUCUGAUUAGCUAGUUGGAGGGGUAACGGCCCACCAAGGCAAUGAUCAGUAGCCGGUCUGAGAGGAUGAACGGCCACAUUGGGACUGAAACACGGCCCAAACUCCUACGGGAGGCAGCAGUGGAGAAUCUUCCGCAAUGGACGAAAGUCUGACGGAGCAACGCCGCGUGAGUGAUGAAGGUCUUCGGAUUGUAAAGCUCUGUUAAUCGGGACGAAAGAGUUCUGCGUGAAUAAUGCAGAAAAGUGACGGUAUCACCUAAAGAAGCCCCGGCAAACUUCGUGCCAGCCGCCGCCGUAA
RNAcentral lists this ribosomal RNA (524 nucleotides) under uncultured bacterium. Its description in RNAcentral is "partial 16S ribosomal RNA". It matches the Rfam family "Bacterial small subunit ribosomal RNA", at positions 28 to 523 of the family's 1533-position model. The record is from RNAcentral.